Molecule: transfer RNA, 68 nt
Filed under: Rattus norvegicus (Norway rat)
Lineage: Eukaryota; Metazoa; Chordata; Mammalia; Rodentia; Muridae
Rfam family: tRNA
About the family: Transfer RNA (tRNA) molecules are approximately 80 nucleotides in length. Their secondary structure includes four short double-helical elements and three loops (D, anti-codon, and T loops).
Source: Rfam by way of RNAcentral
GGGGAUUUAGCUCAGUGGUAGAGCGCUUGCCUAGCAAGCACAAGGCCCUGGGUUUGGCCCCAGCUCCA